AUUGAACGCUGGCGGCAGGCUUUACACAUGCAAGUCGAACGAGUGGCGGACGGGUGAGUAAUGCCUGGGAAUCUCCCCUAUGGAGGGGGAUAACUACGGGAAACUGUAGCUAAUCCCGCGUACCAUCGGAUCAGCCCAUGUGGGAUUCGCUAGUUGGUGGGGUAAAGGCUCACCAAGCCGACGAUCUCUAGCUGGUCUGAGAGGAUGACCCGCCACACUGGGACUGAGACACGGCCCAGACUCCUACGGGAGGCAGCAGUGGGGAAUAUUGCGCAAUGGGGGCAACCUGACGCAGCCAUGCCGCGUGAAUGAAGAAGGCCUUCGGGUUGUAAAGUUCUUUCGGUAGGGAGGCGUUAACUACAGAAGAAGCACCGGCUAACUCCGUGCCAGCAGCCGCGGUAAUAC
This 405-nucleotide ribosomal RNA is filed under the name uncultured bacterium. Its description in RNAcentral is "partial 16S ribosomal RNA". It matches the Rfam family "Bacterial small subunit ribosomal RNA", at positions 30 to 526 of the family's 1533-position model. The record is from RNAcentral.